This 228-nucleotide long non-coding RNA is filed under the name Ananas comosus (pineapple). RNAcentral describes it as "long non-coding RNA (ACOM_LNC005249)". Lineage: Eukaryota; Viridiplantae; Streptophyta; Magnoliopsida; Poales; Bromeliaceae. The record is from RNAcentral.
CAUAUUUUUUUUCCCUGUCCGCCCAAGGCGUCACAAUCGGUAUAAUUCAAAACAUUCCAAACAGGAAUAAAACUUAUACACAUAUUGUAUAAGAAAGGCAUCAUAAACAUAGAUAACUAUGUUAUUACAAACAUUCAUCUCAUUCACUUUACAUUUACAAUCUUCCAAAUACAAUCAAAUUUGUUACAUUUCUUUCAUUCUUUUCAAACUCUUAAGCUACACCGAUCC